CGUGCGCGGCGGACGGGUAAGUAGGAAGUGAAAGGUUGGAGCUCAACUCCAACACUGCUCCCUAUACUGCCUGUCUUGAAUGUCGGAGAGGAAGAGGGAACGACACGUGUAGCGGUGAAAUGCGUUGAGAUGUGUCGGAACACCAAUGGCGAAACACUCUUCUGGACGAAUAUUGACGCUCAUGCACGAAAGCUAAGGUAGCAAACAGGAUUAGAUACCCUGGUAGUCUUAGCCAUAAACGAUGUUCACUAGGUGUUGGGGCGUAAGCCUCGGUGCCGCAGCUAACGCAUUAAGUGAACCGCCUGGGGACUACGGCCGCAAGGUUGAAACUCAAAGGAAUUGGCGGGGGCCCGCACAAGCGGUGGAGCAUGUGGCUUAAUUCGAUGCAACGCGAAGAACCUUACCAGGGCUUGACAUGGAUCUGCAAGGUGGUGAAAGCCACUCGCUUUCGAAGGUGAUUCACAGGUGGUGCAUGGCUGUCGUCAGCUCGUGUUGUGAAAUGUUGGGUUAAGUCCCGCAACGAGCGCAACCCUCAUGUUUUGUUACCAGCGGGUCAUGCCGGGAACUCGAAACAAACUGCCUCUGCAAAGAGGAGGAAGGUGGGGAUGACGUCAAGUCAUCAUGCCCCUUACGCCCUGGGCUGCACACAUGCUACAAUGGCCGGUACAAAGGGUCGCUAACUCGCGAGAGUAUGCUAAUCCCAAAAAGCCGGUCUCAGUUCGGAUUGGAGUCUGCAACUCGACUCCAUGAAGUCGGAAUCGCUAGUAAACGC
RNAcentral lists this ribosomal RNA (772 nucleotides) under uncultured bacterium. RNAcentral's name for it is "bacterial SSU rRNA". It matches the Rfam family "Bacterial small subunit ribosomal RNA", at positions 566 to 1345 of the family's 1533-position model. The record is from RNAcentral.